CGACAGCUGCGCGGACAAUCUGGAAAACUACUGCCCCAAAAUGAUCCUCAGUUACUCGACAAUUUACUCCGACGGAACCGUCACCUACGGCGGCUACUCCGAUCACAUGGUCUGCGACGAGCACUUCGUGGUGCGCGUCCCGGACAACCUUCCUCUCGACGGUGCUGCACCUCUUCUCUGCGCAGGAAUCACAGUGUAUAGCCCACUGCGGCACUAUGGACUCGACCAGCCUGGCAUGCAUGUGGGUGUGGUUGGGCUCGGUGGGUUAGGCCAUGUUGCUGUCAAAUUCGCCAAGGCUAUGGGGGUUAAGGUCACUGUC
Molecule: long non-coding RNA, 319 nt
Filed under: Carica papaya (papaya)
Lineage: Eukaryota; Viridiplantae; Streptophyta; Magnoliopsida; Brassicales; Caricaceae
Description: long non-coding RNA (CPAP_LNC008525)
Source: RNAcentral